ACGGCUCAGUAACACGUGGACAAUCUGCCCUGAAGAGGAGGAUAAUCCCGGGAAACUGGGGGUAAUACUCCAUAGUUCGUGCUGACUGGAAUGUUAUGCGAACGAAAGAUCCGCCGCUUCAGGAUGAGUCUGCGGCCGAUUAGGUAGUUGUUGGGGUAACGGCCCAACAAGCCUGUCAUCGGUACGGGUUGUGGGAGCAAGAGCCCGGAGAUGGAUUCUGAGACACGAAUCCAGGCCCUACGGGGCGCAGCAGGCGCGAAAACUUUACCAUGCGGGCAACCGUGAUAAGGAAACCCCGAGUGCCGGCACAGGCUGGCUGUCCACCAGUGUAAAUAACUGGUGAAGAAAGGGCCGGGCAAGACCGGUGCCAGCCGCCGCGGUAAUACCGGCGGCUCGAGUGGUGGCCGCUAUUACUGGGCUUAAAGGGUCCGUAGCUGGAUAUACAAGUCCCUUGAGAAAUCCGCCGGCUUAACCGGUGGGCGUUCAGGGGAAACUGUAUUUCUAGGGACCGGGAGAGGUGAGAGGUACUGCCGGGGUAGGAGUGAAAUCCUGUAAUCCCGGUGGGACCACCUAUGGCGAAGGCAUCUCACCAGAACGGGUCCGACAGUGAGGGACGAAAGCUGGGGGAGCAAACCGGAUUAGAUACCCGGGUAGUCCCAGCUGUAAACGAUGCGCGUUAGGUGUGUCAGUGACCACGUGUCACUGAGGUGCCGAAGGGAAACCGUGAAACGCGCCGCCUGGGGAGUACGGUCGCAAGGCUGAAACUUAAAGGAAUUGGCGGGGGAG
RNAcentral lists this ribosomal RNA (786 nucleotides) under uncultured archaeon. RNAcentral describes it as "bacterial SSU rRNA". It matches the Rfam family "Archaeal small subunit ribosomal RNA", at positions 85 to 876 of the family's 1478-position model. The record is from RNAcentral.